UACGGAGGGUGGAAGAGUUAUCCGGGUUCACUGGGUUUAAAGGGUGCGUAGGCGGGGAGGUAAAUCAGUGGGGGAAUCCUGGAGCUCAACUCCCGAAAUGCCAUUGAUACUAUCUAUCUUGAAUAUUGUGGAGGUAAGCGGAAUAUGUCAUGUAGCGGUGAAAUGCUUAGAUAUGACAUAGAACACCCAUUGCGAAGGCAGCUUACUACGCAUAUAUUGACGCUGAGGCACGAAAGCGUGGGGAUCAAACAGGAUUAGAUACCCUGGUAGUCCACGCCCUAAACUAUGGAUACUCGACAUAUGCGAUACACUGUAUGUGUCUGAGCGAAAGCAUUAAGUAUCCCACCUGGGAAGUACGUUCGCAAGAAUG
This 370-nucleotide ribosomal RNA is filed under the name uncultured prokaryote. RNAcentral describes it as "bacterial SSU rRNA". It matches the Rfam family "Bacterial small subunit ribosomal RNA", at positions 524 to 896 of the family's 1533-position model. The record is from RNAcentral.